RNAcentral lists this ribosomal RNA (460 nucleotides) under uncultured bacterium. RNAcentral describes it as "partial 16S ribosomal RNA". It matches the Rfam family "Bacterial small subunit ribosomal RNA", at positions 338 to 795 of the family's 1533-position model. The record is from RNAcentral.
CCUACGGGCGGCAGCAGUGAGGAAUAUUGGUCAAUGGGCGCAAGUCUGAACCAGCCAUGCCGCGUGCAGGAAGACGGCUCUAUGAGUUGUAAACUGCUUUUGUACGAGGGUAAACCCCGAUACGUGUAUCGGGUUGAAAGUAUCGUACGAAUAAGGAUCGGCUAACUCCGUGCCAGCAGCCGCGGUAAUACGGAGGAUCCGAGCGGUAUCCGGAUUUAUUGGGUUUAAAGGGUUCGUAGGCUGUCUGAUAAGUUAGAGGUGAAAUGUCGGGGCUCAACCACGGAACUGCCUCUGAUACUGUUUGGCUAGAGAGUAGUUGCGGUAGGCGGAAUGUAUGGUGUAGCGGUGAAAUGCUUAGAUAUCAUACAGAACACCGAUUGCGAAGGCAGCUUACCAAACUAUAUCUGACGUUGAGGCACGAAAGCGUGGGGAGCAAACAGGAUUAGAUACCCGAGUAGUC